Molecule: ribosomal RNA, 449 nt
Filed under: uncultured bacterium
Lineage: Bacteria
Description: partial 16S ribosomal RNA
Rfam family: Bacterial small subunit ribosomal RNA
Source: RNAcentral
AACGAACGCUGGCGGCAGGCCUAACACAUGCAAGUCGAUCGGUGUCUUCGGACAGAGAGGCGCACGGGCGAGUAACACGUGGGAACAUACCCUCGAGUGCGGCAUAACUAUUGGAAACGAUAGCUAAUAACGCAUACGCACUACGGGGGAAAGAUUCAUCGCUCAAGGAGUGGCCCGCGUCCGAUUAGCUAGUUGGCGGAGUAACGGCCCACCAAGGCGACGAUCGGUCGCUGGUUUGAGAGAAUGAUCAGCCACACUGGGACUGAGACGCGGCCCAGACUCCUACGUGAGGCAGCAGUGGGGAAUAUUGGACAAUGGGCGCAAGCCUGAUCCAGCCAUGCCGCGUGAGUGAAGAAGGCCUUCGGGUUGUAAGGCGCUUUCAGACGUGGCGAUGAUGACGGUAGCUUCAGAAGAAGCCCCGGCUAACUUCGUGCCAGCAGCCGCAGUAA